CAAAACUCAAAUUGGCUUGUGGGUCGGGCCUUGAAAAGCCCAGCUACAUCUGAGGUAUGUAUACGCGGCAUCUUCUUGAUCGUUCAGCUGCCCGUCGAAGCUCUGGAUUCUCAACUACCAAACAGAGAAUGACUGUGAAAUGAAUUGAGUCUUAGUUGAAUUUUGUUGUUGUUUCAGAUGCUACUAAGAGUGCCUUUAUAUCUCCAAACAUGUCAUGGUCUAGGGUUUUCAGAUUGCCUCAGAUUUACAAGGAUGUACAUCACUCCUCUUCUCGAUACAGGUGCUCACUCGAUUCUUCAUGGUUGACACGUAAUUUUGUGGGACCUAAUAGUACUAGAAAUGGGUGGGAUUUCAGUUAUGAAUUUCAGGGUGUAAUGACAAGAUGCGAAUCAAGUGUGGGGUCGUUUGGUAAAUGUGGUCAGUUAACUCCAUGUUUGGAUGUGCGGCGCCAAUAUGCAACUCAUGCUACCUGAGAACAUAAAUCAAAAAAGAUGCUUUUAUAUCUGACAGGAUUGGUUUUUGCAAUGGUGGGGUGAACUUACACUGCGAUUCCUCUGUAUAGGAGAUUUUGCCAAGCUACUGGAUAUGGGGGUACUGUUUAGCGU
Camellia sinensis is the source of this 605-nucleotide non-coding RNA. The record is from RefSeq and is a predicted model, not a curated record. NCBI's taxonomy places the organism in Eukaryota, Viridiplantae, Streptophyta, Magnoliopsida, Ericales, Theaceae.